CACAUUAGAGUAUGUAGGCUUCGGCUGAUUAUCUUUAUCACCCUUGUCUUUUGCGCUACCUUCGUUUCCUCGGCGGGUUCGCCCGCCCGAUGGACCACCAUAAACCAUUUUAUGCAGUUGCAAUCAGCGUCAUGAUAACAAAUUAAUCAGUUA
Molecule: unclassified non-coding RNA, 153 nt
Filed under: soil metagenome
Description: partial internal transcribed spacer 1
Source: RNAcentral